Molecule: ribosomal RNA, 253 nt
Filed under: uncultured bacterium
Lineage: Bacteria
Description: partial 16S ribosomal RNA
Rfam family: Bacterial small subunit ribosomal RNA
Source: RNAcentral
UACGGAGGGUGCAAACGUUGCUCGGAAUCAUUGGGCGUAAAGCGCACGUAGGCGGUCUGUUAAGUCGGAUGUGAAAGCCCUCGGCUCAACCGAGGAAGUGCAUACGAAACUGGCGGACUUGAAUAUGGAAGAGGGUCGCGGAAUUCCCGGUGUAGAGGUGAAAUUCGUAGAUAUCGGGAGGAACACCAGUGGCGAAGGCGGCGACCUGGGCCAAUAUUGACGCUGAGGCGCGAAAGCUAGGGGAGCAAACAGG